Non-coding RNA from Acanthosepion pharaonis, 100 nucleotides. Lineage: Eukaryota; Metazoa; Mollusca; Cephalopoda; Sepiida; Sepiidae. The record is from the annotation of a GenBank genome assembly.
GUGUUGAAACAGUAGUUCCCAUAUGAUCCCUGAAGUUAAGCAGCAUCUGGUCUGGUCAGUAUCGAGAUGGGUGAUCACUUGGGAAUACUAGGUACUGUAA